Molecule: long non-coding RNA, 449 nt
Organism: Crotalus tigris (Tiger rattlesnake)
Lineage: Eukaryota; Metazoa; Chordata; Lepidosauria; Squamata; Viperidae
Exons: 3
Source: RefSeq, a predicted model, not a curated record
CAUUUGAACUUGCUGCUUAAAACAACGAUAUGUGAUAAUCUGUGAAAAGCUGAGAACUAUUUAUUUCCUCAAAGGUUUCUGCUAAGUAUGUGUAUAUCCCCAUGGAAGACACUUCGCCUGGGACUGCUUUGCAAUGGAGCAGUUCCUCUGUGUGAGAUUGAUCUGCUGCACAUCAACUGGAUUUGGCAUGAAGGAAAGACUGGAAGUGAACGAGGUCUUUUUGAAGAGAUGUUUUGCUCUCAUUCUGGUUCUUUGAGAUGAAGACUGGAUCAGGUGAAAAGUAAUCCAAGGUCUAACCUUUCUAGAACUCACAAGGUCAAGCAUAGACUACAUUCCCCCCCCAAAAAAAACAACUGAUCAAGGAAACAUUUUAGUUGAAAGGUCAAUCCCUGUACAGAAUGAUUCCCCUCCCCCGCUGUGGUACCCACAUCCAUUUCAUAUCUAGCAUC